GUGGGUGUAGCUCAGGGGUAGAGCAUCGGUUUGUGGUUCCGAGGGUCGCGGGUUCAAAUCCCGUCAUCCACCC
Molecule: transfer RNA, 73 nt
Filed under: bacterium
Lineage: Bacteria
Description: tRNA-His
Rfam family: tRNA
About the family: Transfer RNA (tRNA) molecules are approximately 80 nucleotides in length. Their secondary structure includes four short double-helical elements and three loops (D, anti-codon, and T loops). Further hydrogen bonds mediate the characteristic L-shaped molecular structure. tRNAs have two regions of fundamental functional importance: the anti-codon, which is responsible for specific mRNA codon recognition, and the 3' end, to which the tRNAs corresponding amino acid is attached (by aminoacyl-tRNA synthetases). tRNAs cope with the degeneracy of the genetic code in two manners: having more than one tRNA (with a specific anti-codon) for a particular amino acid; and 'wobble' base-pairing, i.e. permitting non-standard base-pairing at the 3rd anti-codon position.
Source: RNAcentral